CCUACGUGAGGCAGCAGUAGGGAAUCUUUCACAAUGGGCGAAAGCCUGAUGGAGUAACGCCGCGUGCAGGAUGAAGGCCUUCGGGUUGUAAACUGCUUUUAUAAGCGAGAAAGAUGAUGGUAACUAAUGAAUAAGGAUCGGCUAACGACGUGACAGCAGCCGCGGUCAUACGUAGGAUACGAGCAUUAUCCGGAGUGACUGGGUGUCAAGAGUUGCGGAGGUGGCCUAAUAAGUAGCUAGUGAAAUCUGGUGGCUCAACCAUUCAGACUAUUAGCUAAACUGUUAAGCUCGAGCCCGUUAGGUGUAACUGGAAUUUCUAGUGUAGUCGUGAAAUCCGUAGAUAUUAGACGGACCACCAAUCGCGUAGGCAGGUUACUGGGACGGUUCUGACACU
RNAcentral lists this ribosomal RNA (394 nucleotides) under uncultured bacterium. RNAcentral's name for it is "partial 16S ribosomal RNA". It matches the Rfam family "Bacterial small subunit ribosomal RNA", at positions 338 to 747 of the family's 1533-position model. The record is from RNAcentral.